RNAcentral lists this ribosomal RNA (104 nucleotides) under Periophthalmus magnuspinnatus. Lineage: Eukaryota; Metazoa; Chordata; Actinopteri; Gobiiformes; Gobiidae. The record is from RNAcentral.
CUCAAGUCUUAGACGUGAUCUGGUCUGACUCUGAAGCUAAGCAGGUCUGGACCUCAUCAGAACUUGGAUGGGAGACCACUGGGAAUACCAGGUCACAGUAGGGG